Molecule: non-coding RNA, 99 nt
Organism: Rhodocollybia butyracea
Lineage: Eukaryota; Fungi; Basidiomycota; Agaricomycetes; Agaricales; Omphalotaceae
Source: the annotation of a GenBank genome assembly
UCCUUCUUAGCUCAAUUGGUAGAGCCUGUCAUUAUAGUUCAAAAGUAGAAAUCCUGUCUUAUGAUGACAAGGUUAGCCGUUCGAAUCGGCUAGAAGGAA